AUUGCGUAUUACGUUGCACGCUCGCUCUUUUUUGUUUUGUUAGUAACAAUUAUGACUUCAAAAAAAGCCAAAAUUUAUUGUGGUGUCUUCGGGUGUCUCAAUAACGACUCCAACAAACCGGACUUAUCAUUCUUCAAUAUACCUACUGAACAAGACACGCGCUUACAAUGGCUACGAUCAAUCGAUCGCGAAGAUUUGUCCGAUAAGCCAACACGUCGCAUACUCGUGUGUGAAGUAUUCAAAGCUGAAGAUAGAAUUUUUAAAAUUUGUCUUUUCUUUUUAAAACGUCUUU
Long non-coding RNA from Maniola jurtina (meadow brown), 292 nucleotides. RefSeq lists it as uncharacterized. NCBI's taxonomy places the organism in Eukaryota, Metazoa, Arthropoda, Insecta, Lepidoptera, Nymphalidae. The record is from RefSeq and is a predicted model, not a curated record. The transcript is spliced from 2 exons.